AUUGAACGCUGGCGGCAUGCCUUACACAUGCAAGUCGAACGGUAACAGGUCUUCGGAUGCUGACGAGUGGCGAACGGGUGAGUAAUACAUCGGAACGUGCCUAGUAGUGGGGGAUAACUACUCGAAAGAGUGGCUAAUACCGCAUGAGAUCUACGGAUGAAAGCAGGGGAUCGCAAGACCUUGUGCUACUAGAGCGGCCGAUGGCAGAUUAGGUAGUUGGUGGGAUAAAAGCUUACCAAGCCGACGAUCUGUAGCUGGUCUGAGAGGACGAUCAGCCACACUGGGACUGAGAAACGGCCCAGACUCCUACGGGAGGCAGCAGUGGGGAAUUUUGGACAAUGGGCGAAAGCCUGAUCCAUCAAUGCCGCGUGCAGGAUGAAGGCCUUCGGGUUGUAAACUGCUUUUGUACGGAACGAAAAGCCCCGGGUUAAUACCCUGGGGUCAUGACGGUACCGUAAGAAUAAGCACCGGCUAACUACGUGCCAGCAGCCGCGGUAA
This 498-nucleotide ribosomal RNA is filed under the name uncultured bacterium. Its description in RNAcentral is "partial 16S ribosomal RNA". It matches the Rfam family "Bacterial small subunit ribosomal RNA", at positions 30 to 523 of the family's 1533-position model. The record is from RNAcentral.